This 439-nucleotide ribosomal RNA is filed under the name uncultured bacterium. Its description in RNAcentral is "partial 16S ribosomal RNA". It matches the Rfam family "Bacterial small subunit ribosomal RNA", at positions 339 to 795 of the family's 1533-position model. The record is from RNAcentral.
CUACGGGGUGCACCAGUAGGGAAUCUUAGACAAUGGGGGAAACCCUGAUCUAGCCAUGCCGCGUGAGUGAUGAAGGCCUUAGGGUUGUAAAGCUCUUUCGCUGGGGAAGAUAAUGACGGUACCCAGUAAAGAAACCCCGGCUAACUCCGUGCCAGCAGCCGCGGUAAUACGGAGGGGGUUAGCGUUGUUCGGAAUUACUGGGCGUAAAGCGCGCGUAGGCGGGCUAUUAAGUCAGGGGUGAAAUCCCGGGGCUCAACCCCGGAACUGCCUUUGAUACUGGUAGUCUUGAGUUCGAGAGAGGUGAGUGGAAUUCCGAGUGUAGAGGUGAAAUUCGUAGAUAUUCGGAGGAACAUCAGUGGCGAGGGCGACUCACUGGCUCGAUACUGACGCUGAGGUGCGAAAGUGUGGGGAGCAAACAGGAUUAGAUACCCGAGUAGUC